AUUGAACGCUGGCGGCAGGCCUAACACAUGCAAGUCGAGCGGAUGAAGGGAGCUUGCUCCUGGAUUCAGCGGCGGACGGGUGAGUAAUGCCUAGGAAUCUGCCUGGUAGUGGGGGAUAACGUCCGGAAACGGGCGCUAAUACCGCAUACGUCCUGAGGGAGAAAGUGGGGGAUCUUCGGACCUCACGCUAUCAGAUGAGCCUAGGUCGGAUUAGCUAGUUGGUGGGGUAAAGGCCUACCAAGGCGACGAUCCGUAACUGGUCUGAGGGGAUGAUCAGUCAACUGGAAAUGGGAACAGGGUCAGAAUCCCAAGGGGGGGAAGAGUGGGGAAAAUUUGGAAAAGGGGGAAAGCCCUAAUCCGCCCAGCCCGGGGGGGGAAGAAAGUUUUUGGAUUGUAAAAGCAUUUUAAGUUGGAAGAAAGGGAAUUAAAUUAAAACCUUGCUUUUUGAAGGUAACCAACAAAAAAGCCACGGCUAAAUUCGGG
Molecule: ribosomal RNA, 483 nt
Filed under: uncultured bacterium
Lineage: Bacteria
Description: partial 16S ribosomal RNA
Rfam family: Bacterial small subunit ribosomal RNA
Source: RNAcentral